Poecilia latipinna (sailfin molly) is the source of this 599-nucleotide long non-coding RNA. RefSeq lists it as uncharacterized. The record is from RefSeq and is a predicted model, not a curated record. Lineage: Eukaryota; Metazoa; Chordata; Actinopteri; Cyprinodontiformes; Poeciliidae. The transcript is spliced from 3 exons.
GUAAGAAUUUUCAUGAAAACUUUUAUAUGCACUGAGGACUUUCUUGUGUAACUUAAAGUUAUUCAUGAAAAAUCUUACCCAUUUGUGUACUUUUGGGAAAGUGAAAGAGCUGUGCAAUGCUAUUUGGCACUCUGUUGGCUGGUGUUUUCUAAGCAGCUAAUCCUCUAUUGUAUUUCAUUUUCCUGGGUUCUUAUUGGCUGAACCCCCAAGAGUGGAAAUCAAUAAGAUGUUGGAUUUUAGCUUCUGCAGUUGCGCUAACACGGCUUUCACUGUGUGUAUUUAUGCAUGUUGAGGUACAUUUGGUGUUUGAACUAUUAAGAAAGACACCCACAUUUUAUGUAAUUCAUGUUGGACUAUAAUCCAAGGAGAAGGACUGAACCAUAGAAACUGGAAAACCAUAAUUAACGCCUUGCUUAAGGUUAAUAACAAUCAAAAGAUGUAUUGGACAUAUUGAAACAAAACAACAUACAAAAGAGCAAUGCUGAAACUAUUCUACCAAUAAUAUCACCUAAUGAGUAACUUGACCUGAUGACUAAUGUUUUUAUUCAUAAUUAAUAAUUGUAGCUUUGCAUGAAAAAUUUUGUUUUGCUUUUAUGUUC